AUACAGAGGGUGCGAGCGUUAAUCGGAAUUACUGGGCGUAAAGCGCGCGUAGGCGGCUACUUAAGUCAGAUGUGAAAUCCCCGGGCUCAACCUGGGAACUGCAUCUGAUACUGGGUAGCUAGAGUUUAGGAGAGGGAAGUAGAAUUUCAGGUGUAGCGGUGAAAUGCAUAGAGAUCUGAAGGAAUACCAGUGGCGAAGGCGGCUUCCUGGCCUAAAACUGACGCUGAGGUGCGAAAGCGUGGGUAGCAAACGGGAUUAGAAACCCGAGUAGUCC
This 274-nucleotide ribosomal RNA is filed under the name uncultured bacterium. Its description in RNAcentral is "partial 16S ribosomal RNA". It matches the Rfam family "Bacterial small subunit ribosomal RNA", at positions 523 to 796 of the family's 1533-position model. The record is from RNAcentral.